RNAcentral lists this long non-coding RNA (619 nucleotides) under Homo sapiens (human). Its description in RNAcentral is "HSALNT0159379". The record is from RNAcentral. Lineage: Eukaryota; Metazoa; Chordata; Mammalia; Primates; Hominidae.
AUGCGAUUUUACUUCUGGACGAAUUAGGGAGCGCUCCCAGCCCGUGCAGGGGUUUUUCCCACUCAGGAGUAGGCACUCAGGGAUGGGGCUUUCCAGAAACUCUUCCCGCCCCUCCACAUACAUGUUAACAAUUCCAUUUCGCAUCUAUCUAUCCAUCUAAUACAUUAUAAAAUCAAAUUCAAAGUCAAAAACAGUAUUUCCAGCCCUCCACCGCCCUGUCCCAACCAGGCUUGCAGCACUAAAACUCUUGACAGAAAUUUUUGAGCUACCCCUGCUUUCCCUGGACACUACUACGGACGGCUCAGACCAGAACAGACAUCUUGAGGGACUUGGGGACGUGUCCACGAUGCUGGGGGAUUGGACAGUUUCAGAAUUUGGAGAAUUGGAACCAAGUGGCAACUUCCAGCAUCUUAGAUCUAAAGUUUAUUUGGUGGAUGGGAGCACUGUGAAAUGGCUGCCAGUGUAUUAUUUUUUCAAGUUUCAGUUAUUUAUUAAUCAGUGUAAUCUCCAAUAGAUUACAUCAACAUGAUUUCAUUCAUUUAGAGGAGAACUAUUUCCUGGUGAAGUGGAAAAUUGUGCGGACGGAUUCUGGAAGACCUUCAGUCUAAAGCAGCUUUAU